This is a long non-coding RNA of Acinonyx jubatus (cheetah), 15234 nucleotides long. RefSeq lists it as uncharacterized. The transcript has 2 exons. The record is from RefSeq and is a predicted model, not a curated record. NCBI's taxonomy places the organism in Eukaryota, Metazoa, Chordata, Mammalia, Carnivora, Felidae.
CUCUGACCCCCCCCCCACCCUCAAAAAAAAAAAAAAGAAUAAAAUCAGUGACUCUGUCUUGGGCCUCAUCUAAGCAGGUUUUAUUUUUAUUAAUUUUUUUCAUGUUUGUUUAUUUAUUUUGAGAGCCCGAGAAAGCGUAUGCACAAGUGGGGGAGGGGCAGAGAGAGAGAGAAUCCCAACGAGGCUCUGCACUGUUAGGGCAGAGCCCAACAGGGGCUGGCUUCCAUGAACUGUGAGAUCAUGACCUGAGCUGAAAUUGAGAGUCGGUUGCUUGACCAACUGAGCCAACCAGGCGCCCGUAAAGCAGGUUUUAUUACGUGAGUCCUGAGUUAGGCUCUGGCCCUGUGUCAAGUGCUGUGAGCUUCUCCCAUCAUCUUUGCAAGGCUUGACGUGUUGCUUGUUUGUAGAAGCUUUUAAUGGCAUUGUAGACACAGGAAAACCAACCCCAGGGUAAUGGCUUUACAAGCUGGCCUCUUAGAAUCAAUGUUGGGGUUGUGGGUGGAGAAGACUUAAUUGCUAAGGUUGGACAGACUGAGUUUGAUCCCAACUCUGCCACUCUUUGACCUCAGAGGCAGGCCGUUCCACCCCUGAGUGAUGGUGUUCCCAUCUGCAAAAUGGGGAUAGAUGGCAUCCGCUAAAAGUGAUGCACUGAUUUGAUGGUGGACUAGUUUUCUGCUGCUACUGUAACAGACUGCCGUAACCUCAGUGGCUCACAACAACCCAGAUUUAUUCUCUUAUGGGUCUGGAAGCCAGAAGUCCAAAAUGUAACCGAUGGGGCUAAAAUCAUGGUGGAGCAGAACCGAUUCCUUCUGGAGGCUCCGGGGGAGCAUCUCUUCCCUUGUCUUUCCCUCUGUGCCUUGGCUCAUGGCCCCUUCGUCCAUCUUCGGAGCCAAUGGUAGCAUCGUUCUUUUCCAGCUCUGUUCCCCACGGCUCCUAUUGUCACAUGGUCUUCUCCGCACUCUGACUCCACUGCCUCCCUCUUACAGGGACUCUUGCAACUACAUCAGACCCACUUCAAGAUAUUUGGAUUUAAUCAUAUCUGCAGAGUCCCUCUUACUCUGUAAAGUAACAUAUGCCUAAGUUCUAGGGAUUAGGAUGAGGACAUCUUUGGGAGACGGGGAUUGUAUGUAUGGUGACCUUCAAGUAACUAACGCACCACAUUGUCCUGUGUUCUCCAACUCUGGAGUAAAACUUCACAUCGGAUACUGUCUUAGUUUGGGCCUCUCCGAGGCAAAUGGAAUCGAGGAUUCAAGAGCAUAUAGUUUAUCUAGGAGGUAAAGGGGGCACCAGGAAGAUGUCAGGAAGGGAAAGCAGCCAGGAAGUCCGAGCAUCCAGACCAGUUACCUCUGUAGCAGACUGGAGCUUAACCGGAGAAACCCAGGGUUAGACUCCCAACCUUAUAGGGGAGGGAGCCGGGGUAUGUAUUCACCAGUUCCCAGCAGUCACUGAUGUGAGAAUUCCCAUAGUUUUGUGGCACCUCUGGCAGCAAAGUGAGCUCUGGUGCUAAGGGAAGGCAAGGAAGUGAAGGCAUCAUUGGCAGUUGGAAGUCAGGCCAAUGUGCACCCAUGUGCUAAGGGCAAGGGUGUACGGGCAGUGUAACCGACGGUGUCCUCCACAGAGGCUCAGGGCCUCUUGGAUGCUCAUGGUCAGCAGUCCAUCUGUCACCAUGCCUGGGCACCUCUGCUCCAAGCAGUCAGGUCAUUUGCUGGCUAAGAGUCCCUUGCAUUUGUGUCCAAACCCGUUUAUGCCAUCUAUCUAGUCAUGUAACGAAGCUCCCUUGAAUGUUAAGCGUGCAGUCGUCUAAUGACACUAAGGUUAAGACUUGAUGGGAGUAAAGCUGAUCGUAAAAAAUGCUGUUCAAUUAGGUAUGUCAUGACAGCUGUGGAAGAUGAUGGCAGGGGAGGACGAACCACAGAAUUCCAGAAGGGGUGGUCAUUUCUCCUUUUAAAGAAACGCAAGCUGGAGGGCACAGAUGAUGAAUUGUGGCUGUGGUGUGUGUGUGUGUGUGUGUGUGUGUGUGUAUUCAGUUUUCACAACACCGUGAGGUUGGCAUUAUUCCCAUUUUGUUGAAUGUAAGUGACGAAACCCAAAACGGCUAGGUUAAUUCCUCAAGGUCCCACAGUCAGUAAGUGGCAGAACUUGAAUGAGGGGAUCUCCCUCUUGGCCCUGCACUGCCUCCCACCGAUCCCAGCCUGGCACAGCUUCCAGGUGUGUCUAAGCACACCUGCUUCGGUCUGACCAAUUUCUUGGGGCCGAGGCCAUCCCACAUUGCCCAGAGAGACUCCAGGCAAGGAUAUGUGGUUCUUCUCCUUCCCAAUCUGGGAGCUUCCUUCAUGGAAAAGGGGAAAUGAUACCUUUAUCCUACCUUUUCUUAACUUCUUUUGACAUUAAUGAGCUUCCACAGCUUAUAGACCAUGGGAACACCUGAAAACUCAUAGCAAAGUCAGCGCCCCCCCUUCACCUUCUAGCAAAGAUGUCCUACUAGGAAUUCUGGGCAGUCUCUCUCUGCUUUGCCCAAUAUCAGGGCAAUAUGUGGAGGCAUGGAGGAAAGGCCCUGAUACUGGCCUUGGCUCUUCAGAGACCUCCAGGUUUGGGAUUUUGACAGCAACAGGAAUCAGACAGUGGAGAAGCUCAGGCUGGGGGGUCACCAAGGCUUCCAUGUUGGUCCCGAGUGCCUGAGACUAGGCUCUAACUAGAAAUCUGUUUGAGGGGAAGAGCAAAAAACUUUCACCCAAGCAGAGCUUAUUAACUAAGCUAUUAACAACCCUUGGACUGGCUGGGUUUCUUCUUCCAUUUUCUAUGGAACUCCCUGCAGAGGUGGCUAGGAAAGAGAGCUCACCCCAAGAGCACUGAUUCAAUGAGAGGUGUCUGGGGACCCAUCAAUAGACAAAUAUGGGAUUGGCUGGCAUGCAGCUCUUAUAAGGCAGUUCAGUUCUUGCUCCCCUUGGAACGGCAGAUUGAUCAACUUACACUGUGGUUCCCAGCAUGCAAAAUAGCCUUCCUGAUUUUUACCGGGGUUUUGUGUGCUUGUUCUUAAAGGAAAUAUCAGUUGGCAAGUUGGCUGGUAUGGUAAUUCCUUCGGUAUCAAAAUGGCAGCUUUCUGUGACGCUGGAUUGAAGGCGCAUUCAUUUAACAUACGCAUUGCAUGCCUGCUGUGGUCGAGCGCUGGGCUAUCACGGUUAUAGGACUCAGGCAUAACCCCUUUAUCGGACGAGAGAGGUGAGUCGGCAGGCACAUGGCGUGUGCCACAAGGGAAGUAAAUAAAGGGCCUUACAGGAGCCCAGAGGGUGGACAGCUUCUCCACCUUUGUGUGCAGGGUUUGAGCCUGUUAACAAACACCCAGAGGAGGCGAUGCCUGAGCUGAGUUGAGAAGGAUGACUGUGGAUUAGCCAAGGAGAGAAGGCGGAACUGUGGUGCCGUAGGUGGCCUGAGCCAAAGCCAAAGGCGAAACACAAGUGGUGGAUGAGAAGAGCUUCAGGGAGUCAGCUGAGGCCAGGAUGUAGGACAGAAGCCGGCGACGAGCAGCCUGGAGAUGGAGAAAGAUUUCCACCCAGCGGGGCCUCUGGGUCUUGCCAAGGGGCUGGGACUUGACCCCGGGACGCUGGCCUUACCUGCGUUGUACGUCGGGGACUCAGCGGCAAGCUGGAGGCAGGAGCCCUGCGUGAUUUAUCUGUGUAAUAAUGAGUCAUGUUUUAAGGGUGUUCUGUGCAUUUUCAUGGGGCUUAACUUGAUAGACAAAUUCAGCUCUUCGCUUUUAAUUAUGCAAACCCAAGAGGCAAGAAUUAUUCUCUUCAGCUCCAGCAUGAAGACCGAAGUCGGCACGCUGGCCCAGUGCCAAGGACCUGUGCUGGAGUUCUUCAGCGCCCCGCUGCGGGGAGGUGGCCAGAGACCUGAUGUCCUGCCGCCGAUGUCGGAAUAGGCCGGCCCCGGUCUGCCUCUUACCCACAACCUGGACAUGUCUCUUCUCCUGGGAUCCUUUGCUGCUACUGUGUGCCCCUGCUUUUACCCGUCUUCAUUCCCAGCCUCUGCCACCAAAGAGACAGUCUCACCGAGGGGCUCUCCACAUGCCAAGUGGUGUUCUAGCCAGUUGGGCUUGGGAAGAAAAGCACCGGGCUGGGUCUCAUUCCAGCUGCAUGGCCCUGGGCACUUUCCUUCCCCAGCCUGUCUCCUCAUUUAUUGAAAGCAAGUGCAGACGCAGUAGCUGUCCUGCUCAUCGCCGUAUCCCUCAGUGGCUGGCACGGAACCGGAGCUCGGUAUAUUGCUAUCGAACGAGUACGGAAACACCCAUCACGGGCCAGGCAGCGUGUGCCCCCCGGGCAGACACCAGGGAGACUAGAACGAGACCCCUGCCCUCCAGCGUCUAGUGGUUAAAAUCAGUGUGGGAGCAAAUAAGUCGAAUAUGGCACAAGCGAGUAGAAAACACACGUAAGGAGAAAAUACUGUGGCAGCCGGAGUGGCUGCUCAGUGCGAUUCUUUGAUUCCAUUUCAUCUCAGUGGAGGAAUCUUAGCACAAAAAGGAAACCCGACAAGACUGCCCGCAGCUGGAGGCACGCACGGGUGCGGCCCUCACCAAGGGUUCUGACCAUUCGGGAGUUCGUCACGUCCCAGGUUCGUGGAUGCUGUUAUUUGUUAUUCUCUGUGCAGGAUAGCACAGAUGAUGCACAGUCUGUGAAACUUAACAAAUGGAGAUCUGCUCAGGACCUGGUCUGGCGGGCGACUCACAUGCAAGUGACGGCCACCAGAAGGAGUGACAUCCCCUCUCCCCACCCACUUCUGAUUGUAGGACAGGCCUCUUGCAGGAGCUCACCUCUGGGGUGAGGUCUGGGCAAAGCUGCUGGAGGACGUUGAUGGCGUGGAAGCACUUUGUCGCCCAACAACACGUUUGCCAUUGGAGUGUCUGCUUAUGAGGCGGCCGGGGGUUUUAGACAGUUGAUAAUAAGUGAAACGCCAAGAGGGCACUUCAGCCUGCUUUGCUCCUCGGCAGGACCCAGCUGACCUUGCCUGGAAGAACCGGGAGUUGUUUUCCCGGUGAAAACCUACAGUGGCCGCGAAGAGAAAGGAACAGGUGCAGGGCCCUCCCAGCAGCCCAGAGCCUGGAACGUCAUCUCAGCCCGCCUCAGCAGGUGGCAAGGAGCUGCACAAGAGCCCAGUCCUUCGGGACUGAUUAGACCCCGGCGGGGAUGUGCAGACGCUUCGGUUCACGGGGUUCAGCCCGUUCCGGGGGGCAGAGGGCAUGGUGAGACCCUCCGAUGGCAGGGAACCCGUCGAGACCAGCUAGUGCCAAACAGUCACUACACGCAAAGCCAGGCAGGUGGGUCACUGAGCAAGAGAACGGGAUGUCGCGGGGUUGUUCUCCUUAGACUGAGUGAAACGGGCAGCAGAGUGCCUGCAGGGUUUCCAGCUUCUCUCUGGGACACCAGCUCUCUGGAUGGUGGAGGCUUCCCCUUCAAAGCUGACUGCGUGUUGACAAAGUAGGUUUUCAACGUCGGAUGGGAUUCCGGAGACCCCGCUCUCUGGCGGCAGAAACGUCCCUUUCUGGCCCAAGCUACCCGCCUGCCGCGUUGACACCAUCACUUUCUACAGUAGGAUGAACGGGUGCCCUCUAUGAACAAACGAAGGCUGGCUACACGUUUCAUCCAGGAGGCUUGUCACGCGGGACAGCUGCAGCCCUUGACGUGAAUUAUGCAUCCGCGGGUCUGCUGAGGUUCCUUCCUGUCUUCUCUUCCUCAAGUGCUCGUAAUAUACAAGGCCCUGGAAACGUACACUCCUCACGGUCCCAUGUGACGAGGAACCUGAGACGGUCAUCCCAUGUUUUUAUCUGGAAGCCCAGGACUUCCGGGGGCCACAAAACUGUAGUAGACAUCGGGAGAGAGAGAACACAGCACAGGUAGGUAUUCGUGCUGCAGACCUAGCCGGGAAUCCUCCAAGGCCGAUCUGAAAUGGAAGGAACAUCGGACGGGCUCCCUCCUUGUCACCAAAGUCAUUCAUGGCCUGCCUGACUGACUCGGGGUGACAGCAGCCCCUGCAGGUGUAAAAGGGUUUCCUUCACGCUCUUUCUCCUUUUCCUGUUCUUUUAGAUCAAAGAGAGGAAGAUCACCUUCUGGCUUUGGCCAGAGCCGUUCACCAGGAAGGAAUACUGCUUCUAAAACACACCCAAAGCCCUUUCUUAGCAGGACAGGAUUCUUUUCUGCAGACUCCCAUUGUAUACCAGCCAUAAAACUCCUUAAUAACUUUGCCUUAGAUAGGCCUCUAAUAUCCAUAAUUCAUUCAAGGAGGCAGACUCCAGAGGCUGCACUGUGGUUUAUCUUAUUUUUGUAUAAUUACACUCCCCCCCACCCCCCCGCGCGCGCGCACACACACACACACACACACACACACACACACAGGGGUGUACGUGGUGAUUUACAGCGAUGUUGGGAUACCUGGUUAUUAUUCUUCACUCCUGAUCCAUUAUUAUUCUUCCUAAUUUUGCAGAGUCAUUUGCUGGAUAAGGCCAUUUAGGAAACAAAUGCAUAUUUUAAUAGCUAAUAUUGAAUUUACAUUUAUAUCUCAGGUGUAUAGGGAUAAUGAUGUGGCAAUUAAAGGCAAAUAUAUAAUUUUUAGUCAUGACUAGGGAUUACUCUGCUGACAGAGCAAGAGCUGACUUAGAUAUUUAACUGAAUGUUAAAUUUUUUAGAGCUUUGGGAAUUGUGGACUCUUGAUGGAUAGCUCAGUACUUUCAAAUUUUAGGCGGGGGCAGGGGAGAAAAUCCUGAUUUUGCACUUUACGUCUAGGUGUCUCAGAAACAUGUGGCCACUUCAUUACAUAUGCUCACAAUGUAUUGAUGAGCAAAGGAAGCAGGUAUGGGUACUGUGAUCCCAUCUGUGUGUGUGUGUGCACAGACACACGAACUGUGUGAGUAUACAUGCACAACAUGUAUAUAUAUAUAAUGUACAUGUAUGUUAUUUGUAUAGUUUUUUGCAUAUAUAUUAUAGUAUGUAUUUAUAAUACACACACACACACACACACACACACACACACACACAUUCAUGUUUCCAGAUGUCUUUCAAUGCAUGUGUGGAAGUACAGAUAAAAUUUUAACAGACAUUAACUCUGGGUUUAUGGGGUUCUGCUGUCUUCAUCUUUAAGCAUAACCGCUGUUGAUUCUCUUUAUGGAGAGCCCGCCAUGAGAUGAGCCAGGUGCAGAGCACGUGUUAGAUCCGGACUACCUGAGUUCAUGUACCUCUGUCAGUUCCUUAUGCCGGUGUUGGCAUCAGGUUGAUCUUACCAAGGGUCAUUUUUAAAGGGAAUGGGGAUGUGUCUCUGCUUGGGUCACUAAAUAACUACCCUUGACUUUGACUUUGGUGUCUGAAAGCUCCAGGCUGGUUUGCGAGGUUAGGUGGGAAUGGUGAUGUCUCCCUUCCCCCAAAGAGCAACGGUCCUCAAACUGGUUUGGUCCUUACCGCUUGGAUACAACAGAACUGUCUGCCUCGCAAUCACCUCCUUACUAUUUGCCUCUCUUAACAAAACAGCCUGGGGGCGCCUGGGUGGCUCAGUCGUUAAGCGCUGACUUCUGCUCAGGUCAUGAUCUCGUGGUUCGUGGGUUUGAGCCCCACGUCGGGCUCUGUGCUGACAGCUCAGAGCCUGGAGCCUGCUUCGGAUUCUGUGUCUCCCUCCCUCUCUGCUCCUUCCCCACUUGUGCUCUGUCUCUCUCUGUCUCUCAAAAAUAAAUAAACAUUAAAAAAAAACCAGCCUGUAGAAGAAAACAUUAGGGGGAAAGCUCUUUGACAUUGGUCUUGGCGAUGACUUUUUGGAUUUGACAGCUGGAACACAGGGAACAAAAGCAAAAGUUAACAAGUGGGACCACGUCCAACGAAAAAGUUUCUGCGGAGCAGAAGAAACCAUCAACAAAAUGAAAAGGGAGCCUGCGGAAUCGGAGAAGCCAUUUGCAAAUCAUAUAUCUGAUAAGGGGUUAAUAUCCAAAAUAUAACUCCCAUGAGUCAUUAGCAAAAAAUCAAAAACGUGCUUAAAAAAUGGGCAAAGGACUUGAAUAGACGUUUUUCCGAAGAAGACACACAAAUGGGCAAAAGGGACAUGAGAAGAUGCUCGGCCUAACUCAUCAUCAGGGAAAUGUGAAUCAGAACCCAGUGAAACACCACCACACACCUGUCGGGACGGCUAAAAUCAAAAAGACAAGAAAUUAUAGUGUUGGCGAGGAUGUGGAGAAAGGGGAACCCUCUCGCACUGUUGGUGAGAAUGCAAACUGGUGCAGCCACUGUGGAAAAUAGUUUGGAGGUUCCUCAAAAAAUUAAAUAUAGAACCAUGUGUUCCACAAUCCCACUUCUGGGUAUUUAUCCAAAGGAAAUAAAGUCACUGUCUCAGGAAGAUGGUUGCACUCUCAUGUCCAUUGAAACUUUGUAGCCAUAAUAAGGGAGCAACCUAAGGGACUGUGGACAGAUGAAUAGAUAAAGAAAAUAACAUAGUCACGUAUAUUUAUACAUACAUGUGUUUAUACAUAGAUACAUAUACACGCAUAUAUAUACAUAUAUAUACAUAAACAUAUAUAUACACGUGUACAUAUAUAUAAACACGUUUAUAAUUCAGCCUUAAAAAAGGAAAUCCUGCCAUGAGUAACCACAUGGAUGAACCUGGAGGAUGUUAUGCUAAGUGAAAUAAGCCAGAGAAAGACAAAUGGUAUCAUUUAUAUAUGGAAUCUGAAAAAGAAAGGUGGGGGUGCCUCAUUGGCUCAGUUGUUAAGUAUCUGACUUCUGCUCAGGUCAUGAUCUCAUGGUUCUUGAGUUCGAGCCCCACAUCAGGUGAGCCCUGCUUCUCUCUCUGUCUCUCUCUCUCCCUCUCCCUCUCUCUUUCUCUCUCUGUCCCUCAUAGGAUUCUCUUUCUCUGCCCCUUGCUCGCUUGUGCCUUCUCUCUUCCUCUCUCUCUCUCAAAAAAAAAAAAAAAGGAACUCCCAGUAACAGAGAGUAGGGUGGUGGUUGCCAGGGGCUAGAGGUGCAGGAAAAGGGGAGAUGUUGGUCAAACAGUACAAACUUUCAGUUAUAAGAUGACAAGUUUCUGGAGACAUCAUGUAUAGCAUCGUGACUGUAGUUAAAAAUAAUGUGUACUUGAAAUUUUGCUUAGAGAGUAGAUCUCAGGUGUUCUCACCACACACAAAAAGGACACUAUACCAGGUGAAGGGUAUGUUGAGUAGCUCAAUGGUGGUCAUUAUUUCACAAUGCGUAUGUCUAUCAAAACAUCGUUUUGUACGCUGUAUAUCUAUAAUUCUUUUAAAAACAUCUAUCUGUAUCUAUAUCUGUGUCUGUAUCUGUCUCUAUUUUGAUCAGUCAUACCUCAGUAAAGCUCAGGGGAAAAAUAAAACCCCUGAGCAAGAGAGGUAGUUGUUUGUCCGUGGAUGAUAAGGGAAGGAUAGCUGAAUUCAUCAUUUCUUCCCACCAAGAAGCGAGGAAGCCUCGUGGCUCUCAUUCCAAACGUCAGGACUGCACACUGUUAUGCAGCAGGCCCCCUGGAGAAAUGUCAUCUCUGGGUCCCAUCUGCAUUUGAGGACUCCCACUCCGAAAGGAAUAUCCUCAUGUUGGAGAGUGAAACUCUUGAACCUACGGGUGCUGGACUUCUCCUGUAUUAUUUACCCUGCCCUUGGAUGGCGAAGCAGAUGCACUUCUGGCAUAGAAGCUUAGAUUUUCUGUCUUUUCUUUUCUUUUUUUUAAGUGUUUAUUUAUUUAUUUUGAGGGGGGAGGGGCAGAGAGAAAGAGAGAGAGGGAGAGAGAGAGACUCCCAAGCAGGCUGUCCACUGUCAGCAUGGAGUCCAACACAGGACUCGACCUCACAAACCUCGAGAUCAUGACCUGAGCCAAAAUCAAGAGUCGGACGCUUAACCGACUGAGCCACCCAAGCGCCCCUUACAUUCUCUUUAUUUCACUCUCCUGUUCCACCCCCCUUACCCUGACUCUCCCUCUCCCCCCGCCCCCACACACCACCACCUACAAAUCUGUGUGUGGGGGGGGGGGGUGGCAGGGUUCAGUUCUGUCAUGCGCAUCACUUCGUGUUCAAGAGUCUACAAUUGUCACCGUAUUUUCGGAGACACCCUGUUUUUCUUGAGUGUUUGGGGAUCGGUCCAGAAGUGCGUUCCAGGAUAGGGACCAGAUAUUCAUUUCUGGGUUCAGCAUGUUGAGUUGUGCCUGCCAUCCAGGAGCUCGACUGGGUCUCCAUUAAAAAGACCCCACUGAAGAAUGGUACUAAUGCACAGAGGGGCCCGAGAGCCUGCCCCAAGCUGUGGUGGUGAUGGCCUGCACUUAAUGGAGAAGGUUUAAAAUGUGGCAUGCAGGCUAAGUGUGAUUUUAACUUGAGGCGGUAGCACAGGCUUUAGCACCAGGCUAGGAGGAGAUGGGCUAUUAAUCCUUUUGACAUUCCCUUUGAAUAGCAUCGUAUUUCAAUCCCGUUAAGCUGUGGGGCCGUUGUGUAUCAGUCUCCCUCCAAAAGCAGGGCCUCUGUUGUGCUGAGCUGCAAAACUCUGCCCAGCUCUGUGCCUUUAAGACGACAGUUGGCUUCAGCCUGCUAGGUGACCCCCUCCACCUCUCCGGCUCUGAGAGAAACUCAGGCAGCUCCCAGCUGCCUCUGCUCGCCCAUCUGUCACUGACCAAGCAAGGGGUCAGUGGACCUGGUGCCCUUUAUUGGAAUGUCGAGAGAAGGAAAAAGAAGCAGCACAUCUGGAAAACGGGGAAAAAGGAAGGGGAGGUGGUCAGGCAUGCUGAAGAAUCCCAAAUUCCAAAUUGUGACUGUCUCCAUGACCUCGCUCUUCCUGUUCUGAUCCCCCCAGCUUCAAUGUCCAUUCAUUUGCACAUUCAUUCAUCAGACCUCUAUUGAGCAUCUCUCAAGUGCACUGUGCUCAGUGCCACAGGUAGAGGAUGAACACAGCAGGUGAGGUCCGUGCCCUUAUCAACCCACCAUCUAGCAGCGGGAUGGACAUUGGCCACAGGAAGUUGGGAAUAUGGAGAGGGAGGGAUUUGGAGACCAGUUGUCUGGGCUCUGGAGCCUGACUUGGCUGCUUGUAGGCUGUACAGCUUGGAGGAAGUCACUUGACCUCCUUGAGCCUCGGUUUUCUCAUCUGUAGAAUGGGGUUAAUAACAGUACCUCUUCCAGGAUUGUCGAAAGGUCUAAGUAAAUCAUUGCAAGUAACACACUUAGGAAGCAGUCAAUAACUGUUGGGUUUUGCUAUUAAAUUCUAUGGUAAAUUGUAUUAUAAAGGGCAAGCACGAGGCGCAAGGGGAAUAUAUUACAGCAAAAUUUGCCUCAUCUAGGAAGUCAGGAAGGCAUCCUUGACAAUGGGAUGUUCAGGCAGUGAACUGGGAAUAACCCCCAGCCUAUUCUCUCUCUCUCCCUCUCUCUCUCUCUCCCCUCCCUCUCUCUCUGAGGGUUUACCACUUAUACAUUCAGUCUUCCAGGUUUGGGCUUAAUUGGAUCCCUGUCUUCUCUCUGCUUAGAGGAGAGGGUCCUGGUGGACAAGGAGUGUACCUUGUGCAUAAUUCUAGCACUUUCUGCCACACUUAUUGUAUUGCUUGGCCCAUCACUGGACAACCAGAUAAGUGAGUGGCCAAUCUGUGUCCACACACAGAGGCUGAAAGAUCUGAAGUUUAGAGUCUCUUAUGACACGGUCCCAGGAGCAGCUCCAGCUGGCCUCACAGAUGUACAAGGUUUACCUCAUUCAUAUGCUGCUUUAUAAUUGUCCAGUGAGUUACGAAGGAGUCCGUACUCUUGGACUGUCAGCGGGAAGCACACUCCCCCAGAGGCUGCCCUCUGCCCAGGAGGUUAAAGGGAGUACGGGAAGGGGACGCAGGCAACAGGGGGCCCGGGUGGCUGUGGAAUUCCUUCCCUGGCCUCUGCCCACUUCUUAUGCACCACUCACUCCCAAAGGCCACAGCUUUUAGGGGUGCUGUAACUCCCCUUCCGCAGCGAGCAUGCAUGUAUUUUUAACUUAUACAAGAACUGAAAAUCUGUUCAUCAAUCUUUCCUGUUUGGGUGAAUACAGUAAGAAACCUUCUAAGAGACGUGUGAAUGUGCCACAUGUUAUACAUAAUUCAGUUUUCCUUUAGCUAUUAAGUUGGCCUUGCGUGCCUAGUAUUUUUAAAUUGCUGCUCCUACUGAGCUCGCUCCUGUCCUGUGAGCCUGAGACCUCACAAGGGUCUGAGGGCCAUUCUCUCCAUCUCCUCCUAGGACCCGUGUCGAAGCACUUUGUUCAUUGGCGAGCCCUUCCGUGUGUGCGCGUGAAAGUUGGGAGAAUGGGAAUAAAGCCACAUUUAUCUCCCGGGAGCCCACAGUGCUCAGCAGGGAAUGAGUAUACAGCAGGCUGAAAGGUUUGCAGAGGGUUUGCCUGGGGAGCAUCAGGGGCAGGGUACAGGCAUUCUAGACAGAGGACAGCCUGAGCCUGGCGAGAAGGUGGGAUACCGCAGUGUGAGUGGGUUACUGCUGCCGAGCGUGGAGAGGUACGCAGGGAGGGGCGUGGCCAAGCCAGGUGGUGGAGGGUCUCACGCGCCACAAGAAGGAGACGGGCAGGAAGGUGGCUUGCACAGAAUGGACAGAGGAGGAGUUUGGGCAACACGGCAGUGCCUCCUACCCCCUGUAUUUUUUUCUCGAGGAUGGUUUUGCAGGAGCCUCUAUGCCACAGAGCGGUGCUUCUCAAAACUUGAGCGUGUGUCACAAUCAUCUGGAGGGUUUGCAAAAACCCAGGCGGUUGGACCCCACGCCCAGAGGUCGGGGUUCAGCGGGUCUGGGGUGGGACUGAGAAUCUGCGUCUCUGACAAGCAAGCUCCUGGUGAGACUGAUCUCGCUGGCCCAGGGGCCACGCUUAGAACCACUGCUUAGGCAUCCAGGAGGUCGACCAGGAGGAGCAGUGUCCCCUGAAACCAUCAGGAGAGAAAGAAGCAGGUUAGGAAAUGGGGGGAAGGAGCCACUGAAGCAGCUGCCCACGGACAGGCUGUCCUUGAACUCACGCUCUGGGUCCCAGCUGAUAAUCCCAGAUGCAGCCAACUCAUGUGGGCUGCGGUUACAUUAAGGAAAUAAUCACCUCCCUUUCAUAACUGUAUACAAUUUGGCCGCAUCCGGAAACGUAACCCGUUUUCCCUUUUUACUUUUAAUCUUGUCUGCUCUCUCGGAGACCGAACACGGCGUGUCGAAGGCUUUAUUUCGGAAGCCUAUCUUCUCACUGGUUUCCAGUCUCCUCUCUCACGGCUUUCUGGUCACUUUAGGGCACAUCACCAGUGGCCAGCAACACCUAACACUGCAAAUCCCCUCCCCGCGCCUUCCUCUCACCCCAGAUUUCACGGGUUCCCAUCAAACGCUUCGGCCCAAAGGGUCCAGAGACAAAGCUCGUUUUCUGAUAAAGAGAAGCACCACACUAAACUCUGAAAUGUCACGUUUUCUUGUGUUAAGACCAUGGUCUUGGAGGCCCAGAGGGUGCCCUCCGGCCUGGGGCCACUGGCUGCCGCCUGCCUUCCCUGCUAUCUCCGUUUCCUCUCCCCCCCUCCCCCAUUCUGCUGUGGUUCCUGCCCACAGAGAGGUCCCACAGGACCCAGCAGGGAGGAUGCUUCUCUGGGUAUGGAGCCAUCAGUUAAAGGAGAAACGGGGGUCACUGAGGUAGAGUAGCCAGAAAAUCCUGGUCCCCUUCUCCGGAGUGUGAGGCAAGACUGGCCAAACCUUGGCUGGGUUCCUGCGGUUUGCCUGUGUCUUUGCUCCUCCCGCAUCCUCCCCAAAGGCUGUUGAGAGUCUCCAUGCUGUGGCUCUUGAUAACCUGUCGACCCGUGUGAGUCUCGGUCGGCAAAAUCAGUUACAUGCAUCUCCUGGGCGGAUUUUAAAGAUUUUCCGAUAGCACAUUCAGCUUCAAUUUCAGCUCGGGGCUCCAUUUAGCCAGAGUGGUGGAAAUGUGCCAUCAGGUCAGCUGGGGUGGGGGUGGGGCGGUGUCUAAAGUGCCCAGGGCUUGGGGCCGGCGUGGGGAGGGUGGCAGGGUAUCUGCCCCCGGUGUCAUCUGUGCGCCCAGACAUCUGCCGAGGCCCUCGCCGUGCCAUCUGGCCCUUGUCAGGAGUUACACAGCUGCUGCGGUUACCCUUCGGGGCGGGCAGCGGGCAGCGUGCAGAAACGAUCCCGCUGCUCCACUAACGGGGGGCGUCUGCAAGCCCGGCUCCCGGGGCCAGGCUCAAGUGCCGUCUUCUCACCAAGCCAGCCCGUGCUGCCCCUUCGGAAUUGUUCUCGAAUACUUGGGAGAACCUCUGUUGACCGUAUCACCUGCAUGGGCCGUCCCGCGUCAGAAUCCUUUACCUGUCCACCGCUGGCCGCUAGACUGUCGCCUCCCGGGGCCACAGCACCAGCUCCUUCCAGGACGCGGCAUGGCGCCUGGCCAAAAAGCGUGGGCAAAGCGUGCUGACCUGACACGCGUGGAGACCCGGAGCUGGCAAAGCCCCGUCCUGCCAGCAAAGAGGAAACCAGCCUGUUUGUCUCCCCGAGUCCUCCGUGAGAAAAGGAAAACGGGCAGGAGCACCUGAAUCGACAAGGACACAGGGGCUUGACGGGUGAGGGGCCAGAAAGCUGCAGAACGUAAGCCCCAUUUGUCUCUGCUCUUCUGUCAUCCAGCCUGGGAGCGUCCCUGCAAAGAAAGCCCCAGCAGAUGGCUUCUGGACAUCCCUCACUGGGACGGAGGUGAAACCCCAGCCCCCGGGGAAUUCCGAGGCCCGGGCUCAUGGCAUCCUUGAAGGAUGGCAGGAGAUGACACUUUGGCUGACCCCUGGGAGAACUAUCCUCGCUGGUGAACUCCAAAGGCAAGGGUGGUGUUGCAUCCCAGUCGGGGCCAGGGAGGAUCUGGAAUGCUCUGGGCCCCAGGCCUUGAAGGUUCACUCUUCCCAGGGAGGAGCAUUUGCCGCACCCCCCCAAGCCCUUCCCAGUCAACUGGAGGCUUGAAAGGGCUUAUUGUCAUGCCCAAGCAUUUCAAAGAAUAUGCAUUGAGCAGGGUGCCUGGCCCUAUACUAGGCUGGGGGUGGGGGUGUGUGUGUGUGCAAUGGGCUGGUGGCUGCUCUCAAGAGCCUACAGUGGGAAAGGGGAAACCAUCCAAAAACUUAGCAGCAAAUAAAUAACCUGCUUGUGGGUUUGAAAAACAGGCAGUAUGAAGGGAAGGGAUGACAGGCAGGAGGACUUGUUGACACGGCAAAGGCUUCUCAAAGUACCACUGGAAAUGAACACUGAAUGACAAGAAGGAGCCAG